GAUGAAGAACGCAGCGAAAUGCGAUACGUAAUGUGAAUUGCAAAUUCAGUGAAUCAUCGAGUCUUUGAACGCACAUUGCGCACCCUGGUAUUCCGGGGGGCAUGCCUGUCCGAGCGUCAUUGCUGCCCUCAAGCACGGCUUGUGUGUUGGGCCCCGUCCUCCGAUCCCGGGGGACGGGCCCGAAAGGCAGCGGCGGCACCGCGUCCGGUCCUCGAGCGUAUGGGGCUUUGUCACCCGCUCUGUAGGCCCGGCCGGCGCUUGCCGAUCAACCCAAAUUUUUAUCCAGGUUGACCUCGGAUCAGGUAGGGAUACCCGCUGAACUUAAGCAUAUCAAUAAGCGGAGGA
This 345-nucleotide unclassified non-coding RNA is filed under the name soil metagenome. RNAcentral describes it as "partial contains 5.8S ribosomal RNA, internal transcribed spacer 2, and large subunit ribosomal RNA". The stretch from base 1 to 119 matches the Rfam family "5.8S ribosomal RNA", at positions 35 to 154 of the family's 154-position model. The record is from RNAcentral.